RNAcentral lists this ribosomal RNA (254 nucleotides) under uncultured bacterium. RNAcentral describes it as "partial 16S ribosomal RNA". It matches the Rfam family "Bacterial small subunit ribosomal RNA", at positions 524 to 776 of the family's 1533-position model. The record is from RNAcentral.
UACGUAGGGCGCAAGCGUUGUCCGGAAUUAUUGGGCGUAAAGAGCUCGUAGGCGGUCUGUCGCGUCUGUUGUGAAAACUCAGGGCUUAACCCUGAGCUUGCAGUGGGUACGGGCAGACUAGAGUGCGGUAGGGGAGACUGGAAUUCCUGGUGUAGCGGUGAAAUGCGCAGAUAUCAGGAGGAACACCCGUGGCGAAGGCGGCUCUCGUGGGACGGUACUGACGCUGAGACGCGAAAGCGUGGGGAGCAAACAGG